CUUUCAGUAGCAUAGUUGGUAAAGCUCUCGUCUAGCAUACAAAAGUCGUGAGUUCGAAUCCCACCAGAGAAC
This 72-nucleotide transfer RNA is filed under the name Aedes aegypti (yellow fever mosquito). It matches the Rfam family "tRNA". From Rfam's summary of the family: Transfer RNA (tRNA) molecules are approximately 80 nucleotides in length. Their secondary structure includes four short double-helical elements and three loops (D, anti-codon, and T loops). The record is from Rfam by way of RNAcentral. Lineage: Eukaryota; Metazoa; Arthropoda; Insecta; Diptera; Culicidae.